RNAcentral lists this ribosomal RNA (427 nucleotides) under uncultured bacterium. Its description in RNAcentral is "partial 16S ribosomal RNA". It matches the Rfam family "Bacterial small subunit ribosomal RNA", at positions 355 to 774 of the family's 1533-position model. The record is from RNAcentral.
UGGGGAAUAUUGCACAAUGGGCUCAAGCCUGAUGCAGCCAUGCCGCGUGUGUGAAGAAGGCCUUCGGGUUGUAAAGCACUUUCAGCGAGGAGGAAGGGUGGUGUGUUAAUAGCACAUCACAUUGACGUUACUCGCAGAAGAAGCACCGGCUAACUCCGUGCCAGCAGCCGCGGUAAUACGGAGGGUGCAAGCGUUAAUCGGAAUUACUGGGCGUAAAGCGCACGCAGGCGGUUUGUUAAGUCAGAUGUGAAAUCCCCGCGCUUAACGUGGGAACUGCAUUUGAAACUGGCAAGCUAGAGUCUUGUAGAGGGGGGUAGAAUUCCAGGUGUAGCGGUGAAAUGCGUAGAGAUCUGGAGGAAUACCGGUGGCGAAGGCGGCCCCCUGGACAAAGACUGACGCUCAGGUGCGAAAGCGUGGGGAGCAAACA